Molecule: unclassified non-coding RNA, 250 nt
Filed under: uncultured fungus
Lineage: Eukaryota; Fungi
Description: partial contains 5.8S ribosomal RNA, internal transcribed spacer 2, and large subunit ribosomal RNA
Source: RNAcentral
AACGCACAUUGCGCCCGCCAGCAUUCUGGCGGGCAUGCCUGUUCGAGCGUCAUUUCAACCCUCAAGCUCUGCUUGGUGUUGGGGCUCUACGGUUGACGUAGGCCCUUAAAGGUAGUGGCGGACCCUCUCGGAGCCUCCUUUGCGUAGUAACAUUUCGUCUCGCAUUGGGAUUCGGAGGGACUCUAGCCGUAAAACCCCCAAUUUUACUAAGGUUGACCUCGGAUCAGGUAGGAAUACCCGCUGAACUUAA